UACAGAGGUCUCAAGCGUUGUUCGGAUUCAUUGGGCGUAAAGGGCGCGUAGGCGGCGGGGUAAGUCGGGUGUGAAAUCUCAGAGCUCGACUCUGAAACUGCACUCGAUACUGCUCUGCUUGAGGACUGGAGAGGAGACUGGAAUUCACGGUGUAGCAGUGAAAUGCGUAGAUAUCGUGAGGAAGACCAGAGGCGAAGGCGGGUCUCUGGACAGUUCCUGACGCUGAGGCGCGAAGGCCAGGGGAGCAAACGGG
RNAcentral lists this ribosomal RNA (253 nucleotides) under uncultured bacterium. Its description in RNAcentral is "partial 16S ribosomal RNA". It matches the Rfam family "Bacterial small subunit ribosomal RNA", at positions 524 to 776 of the family's 1533-position model. The record is from RNAcentral.